GGCUGCGUCACUUCGUUUUGCCCACUACUCCCGAACAGCAGAUUAUGGGGAGAAAUGGAUGGCUUACUUUCAGAACAUUUUGACAGUGCUGUCUCCAACCAUAGUAAGAGUAUUUGAUGUAUAUACAUACAUCGGAAUUAUGAUGUAUUGGUUGCGCUUGUAUUAAAAACAGCACAGUAGACAAUCUCAGAGAGAAAGCGAACGAGUUAGCUUUUCAGUGCACGUAGACAAACAGCUAGCUAGCUGGCUAACAACGAUAACAAUAUUGUCUAAAGAUAUCGCCGUGCCUUGUUUUUUUGGAGCGUGUGGCAGCUGUUCUAAAUUGCAACUCUGGGAAUGCCACAUCACCAAACAUCCCGGAAACAAAACUUGCAGAACAUCGAUUGGCCAGGAGGAUUGCGCAACAGUAAGGGGGAGUCUGUAAAUUCCGACCAUUUACCAUUUUUGUAGAGACCGUUUUAGGGACAUGGACAUUUAAAAAAACGAAAAAUGUGCAACAUGCGCCAAAACACUUUUUUUUUUACAAGAUAAUGUUUUUGUCUUUUUAUACCACGAUUAACCUUCUUAUCCAUUUUCGUUUGGAACCACACUGCUGAAAUAUUAGGAUGGGGCCGGGUCAUGACCCACGGGUCAAUCUGAUCAUCAACAAUGGAAGACAACUUGGACGAAGCCUUCUCCUACUUGCACACUACACCACAGUGUUUGUGACCUUUGUGAGUCGCUCUGUGAACUGGUUCGUGCAGAUGCUAAAGUGGACCACACUGUUUGCAAGGUACACCGCGUCCGUCUUUGACUCCGUCUACAGACACCUGCAUUGGUGGCGUAGAAGGGACGGUGGAGGGGUUGCCAAGCAGAUCUGCCCCAGCCCUGACACAAAAUCAGGGUGACCAGAGUAAACAUGUCAAGUCCCUUUAAACCUGAUGAAGUCUUAGAAUGAUUGAGAGUUUUAACCUUAAACCCUAUCACUAACCGGACAUCCUGCUCAAGACAUCAAAUCAGAAGAUCUCACUGAUCUUUUGGGGAAAUUAAGUGCAACAGUGGUGAGAAAGUUGGGAGAGAGUUGAAGUAGAAUGGAAAGAGCAACUUACUGAAGUCAUUCAGUUUGAGUAUUUCAUUGUUUAAUUCCUUACACUUACUAACAGUCUAGUGUUUUACAGUAUAUGCAUGUAUUGGUUGCAUGUGUAUUCCUUGUACUGUAAUGCCAAUAUGAAAGUUACAUGUUUGAAUCUUCAUAUCAUAAACUGCUAUAAUAAUGUUCAAGGAAAGCUUCUCCAAAACCACUAACAGGAGAGGAAGAAUCGGGCAUUAAACACAUUAUUGUAACACUUUUCUAAAGGGUAUAACGUCAAUUCAACUACACUACCCACCUAUAAACUGUCAUUUGUAACAUGUAUAGGAUGUACAGUAUAGGGGUCUAACUCUAAGCAGCUAUUUCGUCCCAUAGCCAGCUAUUCAUGUGACUGUAAAUAACUAAGAAGUAUGUUUCCUGGGCCACCAGACAAGGAAUGGGUCUUUCACAUUCUAAUCUCGUUACCCAGAACCAAGUCAAGACUAUUCCUAUAUUAUACUGUGUCGAUCAGUAAUUCAAACCACUAUUGAGUUGAACGAAUACAGAAUUGUCUUUCUCUAUGCUUAUAAUGUGUAUCCUUUUAUUAUUGUAUUCUUUUUUACUUAUUUUAUUUGUACAAACUGUGAAAGUACUAUAUGAAUGGCACCAUUGUGUUCAAAAUCAUGCCAACAAUAAUCCCUACAGUUGCAAAUGUGUUGACUGUUUUCUGUUCUUAAAUCACUACUUCAACCACUCAUGUACACUGAGUAUACCAAACAUUAGGAACUCCUUCCUAAUAUUGAGUUGCACCACCCCCCUUUGCCCUCAGAACAGCCUCAAUUCGUCACGGCAUGGACUGACUCUACAAGGUGUCGAAAGCUUUCCACAGGGAUGCUGGCCCAAGUUGACGCCAGUGCUUCCCACAGUUGUCAAGUUAGCUGGAUGUCCUUUGGGUGGACCAUUUUUGUUACACACAGGAAACUGUUAGUGUGAAAAACCCAGCAGCAUUGCAGUUCUUGACACAAACCGGUGUGCCUGGCACCUACUACCAUACCCCAUUCAAAGGCACUUAAAUCUUUUGUCGUCCCCAUUCACCCUCUGAAUGGCACACACACACUCCAUGUCUCAAGGCUUAAAAAUCCUUCUAUAACCGGUCUCCUCCCCUUCAACUACACUGAUUGAAGGGGAUUUAACAAGUGACAUCAAUUGGGUUUCCUAAACUGACCAGGUGAAAGCUAUGUCAUGGAAAGAGGUGUCCUUAAUGUUUUGUAUCCUCAGUGUGUAUCACAGGUGUCAAACUCAUUCCACAGAGGGCUGAGUGGCUGCAGGUGUUUGCUCCUCCCUUGUACUCGAUAGAGGAAUUAAAUCAAAUCAAAAAAUGUGUCACAUGCGCCGAAUACAACGGGUGUAGAUCUUACAGUGAAAUGCUUACUUACAAGCUCUUAACCAACAAUGCAGUUUUAAGAAAACAUUUAAAUUAAUAAAGUAACAAAUAAUUAAAGAGCAGCAGUAAAAUAACAAUAACGAGGCUAUAUACUGGGGGCACCGGUUAGUCGAGGUAAUUGAGGUAAUAUACAUGUGGGUAGAGUUAUUAAAGUCACUCAUGCAUACAUAAUAAGAGAGUAGCAGCAGUGUAAAAUAGGGGGGGGGGGCAAUGCAAGUAGUCUGGGUAGCCAUUUGAUUAGAGGUUCAGUAGUCUUAUGGCUUGGGGGUAGAAGCUGUUUAGAAGCCUCUUGUACCUAGACUUGGUGCACCGGUACCGCUAGCCGUGCGGUAGCAGAGAGAACAUUCUAUGACUUGGGUGGCUGGAGUCUUUGAAUUUUUUUAGGGCCUUCCUCUGACACUGCCUGGUAUAGAGGUCCUGGAUGGCAGGAAGCUUGGCCCCAGUGAUGUACUGGGCCGUAUGCACUACCCUCUGUAGAGCUUUGCGGUCGGAGGCCGAGCAGUUGCCAUAACAGACAGUGAUGCAACCAGUCAGGAUGCUCUCAAUGGUGCAGCUGUAGAACCUUUUGAGGAUGCAAAACCCAUGCAAAAAUAGGUUUUGUCGUGGCCUCUUCACGACUAUCUUGGUGUGCUUAGACCAUGUUUGUUUGUUGGUGAUGUGGACAUCAAGGAACUUGAAGCUCUCAACUUGCUCCACUAAGGUCACCAACUAGUAAGGAACUCCCCUUACCUGGUUGUUUAGGGUUCUAUUGAAAGGAAAAAAUAAAAACCUGCAAACACUCAGCCCCCCAUGGAAUGAGUUUGACACCCAUGGUCUAGAUAAAGCCUUUAAAGAUGGAAUACACAUUAGGGGAAACGGCACCACUGUCUCUCAAAUUUGGCAGUACGUGACCCCAGCACAGUACGUGUCCUCCGCUUCUUGAUAUGCCACACUUGUCAGGUGGAUGGGUUAUCUUGGCAAGGGAGAAAUGUUCACUAACAGGAAUGCAAGCAAAUUUGUGCAUAUCAUUUGAGAGAAAUAAGCUUUUUGUGCGUAUGGAAAAUUCUGGGAUCUUUUAUUUCAGCUCAUGAAACAUGGGAUCAACACUUUACAUAUUGCGUUUAUAUUUUUUGUUCAGUAUAGUAAUAUCCCAAACGGAUAUGAAAGUUUCACCAUUAAGGAUUCCAGCUUUAAGAACCAGUAAAGCAAACUGCUUCAGGAUGGGAUUUCUGUGAAAGCUACAGCAUGUACUGUAGUCCAAGUAAGAAACUUCUAACCGAAUCUAGAAUGUUCUAUCUGGGCCUAAGCACCACAGUUGAAGUACUUUAUUGUGCAUUAUGCUAAAUACACUGCUUGUCUGGCAUCAAUGUUGCUGUUGGGCUGCAUGAAGAAUCAAAGUCUGGCACUGUAAUACAGAAAGCAUUGUCUUGUGGUCAUGAUGAAGUUAUUAAUGAGUAAUGACCUGGGCCUACUUGGUCUAUGAAUGUGAAGGAAUCUCAAUAAACAAAACUAAACACAAAA
Molecule: long non-coding RNA, 3992 nt
Organism: Salvelinus fontinalis (brook trout)
Lineage: Eukaryota; Metazoa; Chordata; Actinopteri; Salmoniformes; Salmonidae
Exons: 2
Source: RefSeq, a predicted model, not a curated record